UACGAAGGGGGCUAGCGUUGUUCGGAAUUACUGGGCGUAAAGCGUGCGCAGGCGGCUUCUCAAGUCAGGGGUGAAAGCCCAGAGCUCAACUCUGGAAUUGCCUUUGAGACUGAGUGGCUUGAGUACGAGAGAGGUGAGUGGAAUUCCCAGUGUAGAGGUGAAAUUCGUAGAUAUUGGGAAGAACACCGGUGGCGAAGGCGGCCAUCUGGACCGCAACUGACGCUGAGGCGCGAAAGCGUGGGGAGCAAACAGG
RNAcentral lists this ribosomal RNA (253 nucleotides) under uncultured bacterium. RNAcentral describes it as "partial 16S ribosomal RNA". It matches the Rfam family "Bacterial small subunit ribosomal RNA", at positions 524 to 776 of the family's 1533-position model. The record is from RNAcentral.